UACACAUGCAGUCGAACGCGUGUAGCAAUACACGAGUGGCGCACGGGUGAGUAACGCGUGGAUAUCUGCCUUUUGGUUCGGAAUAACCCCGGGAAACUGGGGCUAAUACCGGAUGGUUCCUUCGGGAUAAAGAUUUAUCGCCAAAAGAUGAGUCCGCGUACGAUUAGCUAGUUGGUGAGGUAAUGGCUCACCAAGGCGACGAUCGUUAGCUGGUCUGAGAGGACGAUCAGCCACACUGGGACUGAGACACGGCCCAGACUCCUACGGGAGGCAGCAGUGGGGAAUAUUGGACAAUGGGGGCAACCCUGAUCCAGCCAUGCCGCGUGAGUGAUGAAGGCCUUCGGGUUGUAAAGCUCUUUUGGCGGGGACGAUGAUGACGGUACCCGCAGAAUAAGCCCCGGCUAACUUCGUGCCAGCAGCCGCGGUAAGACGAAGGGGGCUAGCGUUGUUCGGAAUUACUGGGCGUAAAGCGAGUGUAGGUGGUUGUCCAAGUUGGAUGUGAAAGCCUUGAGCUCAACUCAAGAAAUGCAUUCAGGACUGGGCGGCUAGAGGACCGGAGAGGAUAGCGGAAUUCCCAGUGUAGUGGUGAAAUACGUAGAGAUUGGGAAGAACACCAGUGGCGAAGGCGGCAUCCUGGACCGGCAUUGACGCUGAUGAGCGAAAGCUAGGGGAGCAAACGGGAUUAGAUACCCCGGUAGUCCUAGCCCUAAACGAUGAAUGCUUGGUGUGGCGGGUAUCGAUCCCUGCCGUGCCGAAGCUAACGCAUUAAGCAUUCCGCCUGGGGAGUACGGUCGCAAGGCUGAAACUCAAAGGAAUUGGCGGGGGCCCGCACAAGCGGUGGAGCAUGUGGUUCAAUUCGACGCAACGCGAAGAACCUUACCCAGGCUUGAACAGCGAGUCACAUCCGGGCGAAAGCCGGCUCCCGCAAGGGGACUCGUAGAGGUGCUGCAUGGC
This 954-nucleotide ribosomal RNA is filed under the name uncultured Burkholderia sp. RNAcentral's name for it is "bacterial SSU rRNA". It matches the Rfam family "Bacterial small subunit ribosomal RNA", at positions 50 to 1049 of the family's 1533-position model. The record is from RNAcentral. Lineage: Bacteria; Pseudomonadati; Pseudomonadota; Betaproteobacteria; Burkholderiales; Burkholderiaceae.